RNAcentral lists this ribosomal RNA (408 nucleotides) under uncultured bacterium. Its description in RNAcentral is "partial 16S ribosomal RNA". It matches the Rfam family "Bacterial small subunit ribosomal RNA", at positions 355 to 755 of the family's 1533-position model. The record is from RNAcentral.
UGGGGAAUUUUGGACAAUGGGCGAAAGCCUGAUCCAGCAAUGCCGCGUGUGUGAAGAAGGCCUUCGGGUUGUAAAGCACUUUUGUCCGGAAAGAAAUCCUUGGCUCUAAUACAGUCGGGGGAUGACGGUACCGGAAGAAUAAGCACCGGCUAACUACGUGCCAGCAGCCGCGGUAAUACGUAGGGUGCAAGCGUUAAUCGGAAUUACUGGGCGUAAAGCGUGCGCAGGCGGUUUGCUAAGACCGAUGUGAAAUCCCCGGGCUCAACCUGGGAACUGCAUUGGUGACUGGCAGGCUAGAGUAUGGCAGAGGGGGUAGAAUUCCACGUGUAGCAGUGAAAUGCGUAGAGAUGUGGAGGAAUACCGAUGGCGAAGGCAGCCCCCUGGGCCAAGUACUGACGCUCAUGCACG